Molecule: long non-coding RNA, 3377 nt
Filed under: Homo sapiens (human)
Lineage: Eukaryota; Metazoa; Chordata; Mammalia; Primates; Hominidae
Description: non-protein coding lnc-PTGFR-1:12
Source: RNAcentral
AGAGCCUACCCUAUUUAUUCCCAGCAUGGACCUAAAUCCACUUCAGCCAAAAAUGAACAAAGAAAUGAUGAAGAACAGAGCCUGUUUCUUUCUCAGUGGUGUACUCAGGAGGGACAGUUCUCUGCUCCACUGAAGCUAGGUAUGGCCAUGUGACCCAUGUUGCCAGUGAAACAGGAGGAGAAGGGACAUCUGGGUGGAAACAUUUAAGAGUCAAGUGUAUUUCUCCAUACUCUCUUUCUUUGGCUUUGGCAGUGAUGAAGGUCAAUCCAAUUACAGUUGAUUCUUGAACAACAGAGGUUUGAACUGUGUGGGUCAACCUAUACGUGGAUUUUCUUCUGCCUCUGCCACCUCUGAGACAGCAAGACCAAUCCUUCCUUUUCCUCCUUCUCCUCAGCCUAUACAAUGUAAAAAUGACAAGGAUGAAGACCUUUAUGAUGAUUCACGUCCACUUAAUGAACAGUAAAUAUAUUUUCUCUUCCUUAUGAUUUUCUUAAUAACAUUUUCUUUUCUCUACUUGUUUUAUUCUAAGCAUACAGUAUAUAAUACAUAUAUGAUAUGGUUUGGCUGUGUCCCCAUUCAAAUUUCAACUUGAAUUGUAUCUCCCAGAAUUCCCACCUGUUGUGGGAGGGACCCAAGGGGAGGUAAUUGAAUCAGGGGGCCAGCUUUUCCCUGCUAUUCUCCUGAUAGUGAAUAAGUCUCAUGAGAUCUGGUGGGUUUAUCAUGAGUUUCCACUUUGCUUCUUCCUCAUUUUCUCCUGCUGCUGUGAUGUAAGACGUACCUUUCACUUCCCACCAUGAUUCUGAGGCCUCCCGAGCCAUGUGGAACUGUAAGUGCAAUUAAACCUCUUUUUCUUCCCAGUCUUGGGUAUGUCUUUAUCAGCAGUGUGAAAAUGGACUAAUACAGUAAAUAGGUACCAGUAGAGUGGGGCAUUGCUGAAAAGAUAUCUGAAAAUGUGGAAGCAACUUUUGAACUGGGUAACAGGCAGAGGUUGGAAGAGUUUGGAGGGCUCAGAAGAAGACAGGAAAAUGUGGGAAAGUUUGGAACUUCUAGAGAUUUGUUGAAUGGCUUUGACAAAAAUGCUGAUAGUGAUAUGAAAAAUAAGGUCCAGGCUGAGGUGGUCUCAGAUUGAGAUGAGGAACUUGUUGAGAACUGGAGUAAAGGUGACUCUUGUUAUGUUUUAGCAAAGAGACUGGUGGAAUUUUGCCCUGCCCUAGAAAUUUGUGGAACUUUGAACUUGAGAAAGAUGAUUUAGGGUAUCCGGUGGAAGACAUUUCUAAGUGGAAAAGCAUUCAAGAGGUGACUUGGGUACUGUUAAAAGAAUUACAUUUUAAAAGGGAAACAGAGCAUAAAAUUACAGAAAAUUUGCAGCCUGAUGAUGCAGUAGAAAAGAAAAACCCAUUUUUUGAGGAGAAAUUCAAGCUGGCUGCAGAAAUUUGCAUAAGAAGCAAGGAGCCUAAUGUUAAUCUCCAAGACCAUGGGGAAAAUGUCUCCAGGCGGUGUCAGAGACCUUCAUGGGAGCCCCUCCCAUUAUGGGCCUUGAGGCCCAGGAGGAAAAAGUGGUUUCAUGGGCUGGGCCCAGGGUCCCUGUGCUGUGUGCAGCCUAGGGACUUGAUGCUCUGUGCUUCAGCUGCUCCAGCCAUGCUGAAAGGGGCUGAUGUACAGAUUGGACUGUGGCUUCAGAGGGUAGAAGGCGCAAACCUUGACAGCUUCCAUGUGGUGUUGAGCCUGCGGGUGCACAGAAGUCAAGAACUGAUGUUUGGGAACCUCUGCUUAGAUUUCAGAAGAUGUAUGGAAAUGCCUGGGUGCCCAGGCAAAAGUUUGCUUCAGGGGUGGGGCCCUCAUGAAGAACCUCUGCUAGGGCAGUGCAGAAAGGAAAUGUGGGGUCAGAGCCCCCAUACAGAGUCCCUACUGGGGCACUCCCUAGUGGAGCUGUGAGAAGAGGCCCACCAUCCUCCAGACCCCAGAAUAGUAGAUCCAAUGACAGCUUGCACUGUGUGUACUGUGUGCACUGUGUGCCUGGAAAAGCUGAAGACACUCAACGCCAGCCUGUGAAAGCACCUGGGAGGGAAGCUGUACCCCACAAAGCCACAGGGGCGGAGAUGACUAAGACCAUGGGAACCCACCUAUUGCAUCAGCAUGACCUGGAUGUGAGACCUGGACUCAAAGGAGAUCAUUUUGGAGCUUUAAAAUUUGACUGCCUCGCUGGGUUUUGGACUUGCAUGGGCCCUGUAACCCCUUUAGUUUGGCCAAUUUCUCCCAUUUGGAACAGCUGUAUUUACCCAAUGUCUGUACCCCCCAUUGUAUCUAGGAAGUAACUAGCUUGCUUUUGAUUUUACAGGCUCAUAGGUGGAAGGGACUUGCCUUGUCUCAGAUGAGACUUUGGAUUGUGGACUUUUGGGUUAAUGCUGAAAUGAGUUAAGACUUUGGGGUCUGUUGGGAAGGCAUAAUUGGUUUUGAAAUAUGAGGACAUGAGACUUGGAGGGGCCAGGGGCGGAAUGAUGUGGUUUGGCUGUAUCCUCAUCUCAACUUGAAUUUUGUCUCCUAGAAUUCCCAUGUGUUGUGGGAGGGACCCAGGGAGAGGCAAUUGAAUCAUGGGGGCCAGUCUUUCCCCUGCUAUUCUCAUGAUAGUGAAUAAAUCUCGUGAGAUCUGAUGGGUUUAUCAGGGGUUUCCACUUUUGCUUCUUCCUCAUUUUCUUUUUCUGCCACAAUGUAAGAAGUGCCUUUAGCCUCCUGCCAUGAUUCUGAGGCCUCUCCAGCCAUGUGGAACUGUAAGUCCAAUUAAAUCUCUUUUUCUUCCCAGUCUCAGGUAUGUCUUUAUCAGCAGUGUGAAACUAAUACAGUAUAUAAUAUACAAAAUAUGUGUUAAUUGACUGUUUAUGUUAUUGGGAAGGCUUCUGGUCAACAGUAGGCUAUUGGUAGUUAAAUUUUUGGGAAGUCAAAAGUUAUAUGUAGAUUUUUGACUGCAUGGGGGUUGAUGCCCCUAACUUCUGCAUUCUUCAAGGGUCAACUGUAGUUUACUUUUUGAGAGUUAAAAAAUUAUCUAACCAACUUAUAAAUCACCAAUCACAUCUUGCCAUUAAUUAUCAACAAUCUCCUUUAAGAUAAAGUAUAUAUGCCAAUGUAGUGUAAAAGAACUGAAAUUUUGAUGCUUACAGCACUUGGCUCGUGCAUUUGUAUCAAAAUUUGCCUGACUUUUUAUGAGGGAGGCCUGCUUUUCACACCUCAGUUUAUUUAAUACGAGGCAAGUUGAAAGACAACACUCAUUCUAGGUGAUUCUGUGGUGCCAUGAAAUUUAAGAUAAUUUGGGAAAAAGGAUUAGUCAGUUUUAAGCAAGAGUCACAUCUUCUGAGCUUUUGAUUAUCAGUGUAGUACCUGAC